This is a long non-coding RNA of Mauremys mutica (yellowpond turtle), 761 nucleotides long. RefSeq lists it as uncharacterized. NCBI's taxonomy places the organism in Eukaryota, Metazoa, Chordata, Testudines, Geoemydidae. The record is from RefSeq and is a predicted model, not a curated record. The transcript has 5 exons.
GUGACAUCAAUGGAAAGUCUCAGACAGCAGCAGCACAGGCUCAUCGUACAUAGGUGUGGUCAGGGAUGGAGCAUUGUUUUCCUCCCAUGAGGUAGAAACAAAGACCUGCGUUGGGGAUUAAUAGGAUGGAGAGCAUGUUGCCUGCAGGAGGGACCAAUCUCUCCUCAUGAAAUUUGAGCUGCUUCCACAUGAGUAAGAAACUAAAGGUGAAGGAACCAGCAAUGCUAGGAGAAGUAGCUAUUGACAGCACCUGGCUCAUUCGUCAAGGAGGACCGUGGCAAGAUAUUUGAAGGGCAUGAAGGGUGAUGUCAGUGUAGCAAUUACUGGUGCACUUUAGACCACUGGAAUGUGCCUACUCAGAAACUGAAGCUGGUGCAGAAUGCCAGGGCCAGUUCACCAAGAGGAGCGUCAUGCUGGGAGCACACUACACCAAUGCUCUGUGAGCUGCUUUGGCUACCUGGGAGAUUCCAGCUGUUGGCCCUCGCCUUUAAAAGCUCUAAGUGGUUUGAAACCCAGUUACCUAAGGGACUGCCACUCUCCCAGUGCCAUGAUGCCCUGGCUGCAGUCAGCAGAGGGACUGAAGCAGAGGGAACCUUACUAUAAAAGAGAGGGAGCUGCUGGAAAGGCAAUCUCCACGAAGGCCUUUCCACUUUGGAACUUGCUUCCCCCAUUGAUCUGCCAGAGCACAGACAUAUGAACUGUGCAGUCACAUUACAAGGCCCAAUUCUUCUCCUAGGGGUUUGGGAAGGAGGUGGUUUGAA